AACGAACGCUGGCGGCAUGCCUACACAUGCAAGUCGAACGAGAUCUUCGGGUCUAGUGGCGCACGGGUGCGUAACGCGUGGGAAUCUGCCCUUUGGUUCGGAAUAACAGUGGAAACGACUGCUAAUACCGGAUGAUGACGAAAGUCCAAAGAUUUAUCGCCAGAGGAUGAGCCCGCGUAGGAUUAGCUAGUUGGUGUGGUAAAGGCGCACCAAGGCGACGAUCCUUAGCUGGUCUGAGAGGAUGAUCAGCCACACUGGGACUGAGACACGGCCCAGACUCCUACGGGAGGCAGCGGUGGGGAAUAUUGGACAAUGGGCGAAAGCCUGAUCCAGCAAUGCCGUGUGAGUGAUGAAGGCCUUAGGGUUGUAAAGCUCUUUUACCCGGGAUGAUAAUGACAGUACCGGGAGAAUAAGCUCCGGCUAACUCCGUGCCAGCCGCCGCCGUAA
RNAcentral lists this ribosomal RNA (447 nucleotides) under uncultured bacterium. Its description in RNAcentral is "partial 16S ribosomal RNA". It matches the Rfam family "Bacterial small subunit ribosomal RNA", at positions 29 to 523 of the family's 1533-position model. The record is from RNAcentral.